GACGAACGCUGGCGGCGUGCCUAAUACAUGCAAGUCGAGCGGACAGAUGGGAGCUUGCUCCCUGAAGUCAGCGGCGGACGGGUGAGUAACACGUGGGCAACCUGCCUGUAAGACUGGGAUAACUCCGGGAAACCGGGGCUAAUACCGGAUAAUUCUUUCCCUCACAUGAGGGAAAGCUGAAAGAUGGUUUCGGCUAUCACUUACAGAUGGGCCCGCGGCGCAUUAGCUAGUUGGUGAGGUAACGGCUCACCAAGGCAACGAUGCGUAGCCGACCUGAGAGGGUGAUCGGCCACACUGGGACUGAGACACGGCCCAGACUCCUACGGGAGGCAGCAGUAGGGAAUCUUCCGCAAUGGACGAAAGUCUGACGGAGCAACGCCGCGUGAGUGAUGAAGGUUUUCGGAUCGUAAAACUCUGUUGUUAGGGAAGAACAAGUACCGGAGUAACUGCCGGUACCUUGACGGUACCUAACCAGAAAGCCACGGCUAACUACGUGCCAGCAGCCGCGGUAAUACGUAGGUGGCAAGCGUUGUCCGGAAUUAUUGGGCGUAAAGCGCGCGCAGGCGGUUCCUUAAGUCUGAUGUGAAAGCCCCCGGCUCAACUGGGGAGGGUCAUUGGAAACUGGGGAACUUGAGUGCAGAAGAGAAGAGUGGAAUUCCACGUGUAGCGGUGAAAUGCGUAGAGAUGUGGAGGAACACCAGUGGCGAAGGCGACUCUUUGGUCUGUAACUGACGCUGAGGCGCGAAAGCGUGGGGAGCAAACAGG
Molecule: ribosomal RNA, 765 nt
Filed under: Cytobacillus firmus
Lineage: Bacteria; Bacillati; Bacillota; Bacilli; Caryophanales; Bacillaceae
Description: bacterial SSU rRNA
Rfam family: Bacterial small subunit ribosomal RNA
Source: RNAcentral